UCGAGAAUCUUCGGCAAUGGGCGCAAGCCUGACCGAGCGACGCCGCGUGCGGGAUGAAGGCCUUCGGGUUGUAAACCGCUGUCAGAGGGGAUGAAAGUCAGGCGGGCUCUCCCGUUUGAUUGACAUAGCCUCAGAGGAAGGACGGGCUAAAUUCGUGCCAGCAGCCGCGGUAAUACGAAUCGUCCUAACGUUGUUCGGAUUCACUGGGUUUAAAGGGUGCGUAGGCGGUGCGUUAAGUCGGUGGUGAAAUACUUUGGCUCAACCAGAGAAUUGCCGCUGAAACUAGCGUGCUCGAGGGAGGUAGAGGUGCAUGGAACUUCCGGUGGAGCGGUGAAAUGCAUUGAUAUCGGAAGGAACACCUGUGGCGAAAGCGGUGCACUGGACCUCUUCUGACGCUGAGGCACGAAAGCCAGGGGAGCGAAUGG
Molecule: ribosomal RNA, 425 nt
Filed under: uncultured bacterium
Lineage: Bacteria
Description: bacterial SSU rRNA
Rfam family: Bacterial small subunit ribosomal RNA
Source: RNAcentral